Molecule: unclassified non-coding RNA, 2317 nt
Filed under: Mizuhopecten yessoensis (Yesso scallop)
Lineage: Eukaryota; Metazoa; Mollusca; Bivalvia; Pectinida; Pectinidae
Description: sodium- and chloride-dependent betaine transporter- like, transcript variant X1
Source: RNAcentral
AGACGAUACAGAUGAGCAGAACGAAAUACAUCGUCAAAUACAAGAAGUAUGGGAGGGUUUCGAUUUGAAAACAUCUACCAUUUUCCUAACUGCUCUGGAAAAGAUGAGAUUCCAGAAGGUGAAUCACCAAAAUGGCGUUGCAGAAAGAAAGCAAGGACCAUGGCCCAACAGCAAGAAGAAGAGGUUGAGAAGUUGAGACUGUCAAGCGUGGAGGAAGUGGAUAAGUUUGAUGAGACGCAAGAUUACCACCGAGGGACGUGGACAAGGAAGUGUGACUUCCUUCUGUCUAUAGUGGGCUACUCUGUCGGCGUGUCAAACAUCUGGCGCUUCCCUUACCUUUGUAUGAGGAACGGUGGAGGUGCUUUUCUUAUUCCAUUUUUCUUCUUCCUGAUUUUCUGUGGGAUUCCACUGUUCUUCAUGGAGUUAUGUCUCGGUCAGUUUUCUGGUGUCAGUUCCCUGUUUGUGUGGUCACUCUGUCCACUCUUCAAAGGUCUCGGCUAUCUGAUGGUCAUCGUAUCGUUCAUCAUGUCCUGGUACUACAUCAUGGUGCUCGUCUGGGUCAUCUACUAUCUCGUCAACUCGUUCUACGACCCGCUUCCCUGGGCCGUCUGUACAAACUCAUGGAACACGCCAUUCUGUAUCGAGGAUCGUGGCAAAAUAAACAUCAGUAGAACCUUACUGAAUAAUUUGACCUCAGUAGAGGUUAACACUUCAUUGGUGAUUGGUUCGAAUUAUACCUCUAACACCACGGUCACAGCAGCCAAGGAAUUUUGGCAAUUGAAUGUCCUACAGAUUUCCUCAGGCUUCGCUGACCUCGGUGGUAUACGGUGGCACCUUGUUCUGGCGCUGGCUGCCGCCUGGGUCCUUGUAUUCCUCUGCCUGAUGAAGGGUGUGAAAUCGGUUGGCAAGGUUGUUUAUGUCACUGCCCUUCUGCCGUAUGUCUUGUUGACGAUUUUCCUGAUACGCGGACUUCUGUUACCUGGGGCGGUCGAUGGUAUUAUGUUCUAUCUCACGCCAGACUUCAAAAGACUUCUGGAAUUCCAGGUAUGGCUGGAGGCUGGAAUACAGGUAUUUUAUUCUCUUGGCCCGGCCUGGGGAGGACUUAUAACCAUGUCUAGUUAUAACAAGUUCACAAAUAACUGUCUGAGGGACGCCAUCAUUGGCAGUAUGGCCGACGCUCUCACAAGUUUCUACGGAGGAUUUGUGAUUUUUUCCGUCCUUGGUUACAUGGCGUAUGAGUCUAAGCUACCGAUCAAUGAAGUUGCUACAUCAGGACCAGGCCUGGCAUUGGUAGCCUACCCAGAGGCUAUCACAAAGCUACCCUUCCCCCAGCUGUGGGCUGUACUAUUCUUCCUGAUGUUGUUAGCCCUUGGCAUCGACAGUCAGUUCGGUACAUUUGAGACGGUGUCCAGUGGACUGGUGGAUGCGUUUCCUCGUCAGCUCGGCAAGCGUAAGGUCCUGCUGACGGCUGCUCUAUCACUUGUGCUGUUUAUUCUUGGAUUACCGUUCACCACUAAUGGAGGGAUGUACAUCUUCCAGCUUGUCGACUGGUACGCUGCCUCACUGUGUGUCCUACUUACCUGUUUCCUGGAGUGUUUCAUCGUGGGAUGGCUCUACGGGGCGGACCGUUUCAGUAGGGACGUAGAACUGAUGAUGGGUAGACCCGUCCCUGUUAUAAUCCGACUGUGUUGGUGUGUUAUCACGCCGCUCAUAAUGAUGAUUGCAUUCAUAGCAACAAUGAUAAACUACCAGCCCCCUACAUAUGAAGGCUAUCAUUACCCGGGAAGUGCACGAGCUUUUGGCCUCCUCCUGUCUGUGAUACCCAUAAUUCCAGUACCUGUUCUCAUGGUAUCACAGAUAGUCAAGGCUAAAGGUUCAAUAGUAAACCGUAUUUGGAAAUUGACACAGCCAACUUUGGAGUGGGGACCACACAUCAGUAAAUACAGAGAAAUGUACCAAACAUCUGUAUAUCCGCGCCUACAAGGCCUGCAGCUUGUACGCGCGAAUCUGUUUGGUGCUCAUGAGCGAUAACUACUGUACCUCAUACUAUAGUAACUCAUUUAGUCGUGUCCAGUCUGUGCUGACCGAUGUCUUAUAGUAACUCAUUUAGUCGUGUCCAGUCUGUGCUGACCGAUGUCUUGCCAAGCAAUGAUUGAUGUUUGACAAGUUCUUACUGGUUUCUGGUGGCAAAAGUGAUUGAUUUCUCGAUGUCUAGCUGCAGUAUUGGCAGUUGUCUGGCUGCAGUAAUGACCAAUAUCUAGCAGUAGUGACCGGUGUCCAGUACAGUAGUGACUAAUGUUUAGUACUUUCGUUUUUU